GGAGGGGUGGCAGAGCGGUCGAAUGCGCCGGCCUUGAAAGCCGGAAACGGGCAUCAGCUCGUUCGUGGGUUCGAAUCCCACCCCCUCCG
RNAcentral lists this transfer RNA (89 nucleotides) under Thermoleophilaceae bacterium. RNAcentral's name for it is "tRNA-Ser". It matches the Rfam family "tRNA". From Rfam's summary of the family: Transfer RNA (tRNA) molecules are approximately 80 nucleotides in length. Their secondary structure includes four short double-helical elements and three loops (D, anti-codon, and T loops). The record is from RNAcentral. Lineage: Bacteria; Bacillati; Actinomycetota; Thermoleophilia; Thermoleophilales; Thermoleophilaceae. RNAcentral also lists the same sequence under 1 other name.